Long non-coding RNA from Chelonia mydas (Green sea turtle), 716 nucleotides. RefSeq lists it as uncharacterized. The transcript has 3 exons. The record is from RefSeq and is a predicted model, not a curated record. Lineage: Eukaryota; Metazoa; Chordata; Testudines; Cheloniidae.
GUUGCCCUUAUCGCAACUUUGACACUUGCUAGCAAGGGGGCCCUUGGAAUACUGCAUUACCACCUAAGACCUGGAGAUAGUCCCUCCAGGUCACAGUUUGAGAGGUGACCAUAAAACAGAGAUGAGCCGCUCUGCCUAUGCAACUCCAAAUAAGGAUUGUCAAUAUGUUGUUAAAUGACCUGAACCAAUCUACAGACAGACAUGCCAGUUCUGUGUCAGGGGUAGUGGAACUGCUGGUACAGAAGGUCACUUCACACUACAAUAUUAUCUAUGAAGUCAGGAGUGAAUAUGCAUGUGGCACCAAAUUAGAUUCUCUUCUUGGCUGCAGAGGAACCUGUGUGUUCCUGGAUUCUCCCCAGGUUUUUCAGAGAAGUCUGGAGGAUAUAGAAGCAACCACAUGCCCGUGACUAACAGAGCCAAACAAAAGAAGGAGCCAGAUUUUUCAGAAGCAUUAGGAUUAGGGAAAGAGACAUUGAAAGGACUGGCACUGGUGUUAUGUUUUUAGGGGACAUAGACCUGAGCAAGUUCCAGGUUUAGCACAGCUUUUGGGCUACCUUAAAAUCAGAAUGAUGCAUUUUUCCAGUGCCCAUAUGUACAAUGAGUAUUAAAUGUGCACCCACUCUGUAAUAUACGUCACACACUGUGCCAUUAUGCAUCAAAUAAAAAACACGAUCAGAGCUUUAUAUCUACAAAUGAAGAGCAUAAUCCUUCUCCCA